GGGGAUUUAGCUCAGCGGUAGAGCGCUUGCCUAGCAAGAGCCCUGGGUUCGAUCCCCAGCUCA
Molecule: transfer RNA, 63 nt
Filed under: Rattus norvegicus (Norway rat)
Lineage: Eukaryota; Metazoa; Chordata; Mammalia; Rodentia; Muridae
Rfam family: tRNA
About the family: Transfer RNA (tRNA) molecules are approximately 80 nucleotides in length. Their secondary structure includes four short double-helical elements and three loops (D, anti-codon, and T loops).
Source: Rfam by way of RNAcentral